CUCUCUCACUGGCAGCAACCCAGCGCUUCCAUUGCUGACCUCUACCGACCUCUACCUGUGGUCCUUCCUCUACUGCAGCAGAGACACUGUUUUCUUCCUUUGUUCUUCCAACCCCAUGGCACAGAAACACUCUCCACUGCGGCCAAGGAUUGCAGGAGAGGUGGCAUCAGUGAUUCAAGACUUCUUUUCCUACCUCUUCAGUGUUUCUUUCAGUGAUCUGAAGUUAAAGCCAGGUACCAUAAGUGCUCACCUGAUUUUUGCUGCUUACAAAGGGGGAAUAUCACAGAAGUGAAGUGCAAUUCUCAUCAUGUCAUAUCAAGAGCACACACUAACAAACAACAUGACUUAUUGCUGAAUAUUGAACUUGAUCACCUGGCUGAGGUAGUGUUUGCCAGAUUUCUCUGUAAAGGUGAAUAAACUGACACUGGAACAUUCAGGAACUUCUUCAUGGUCAUGGUCACCCAGCUAGAGUGUGGAAGCCAGGCUGUCUGAUUCCAGGAUCUGUGUUCUUAAUCCUAUACAUAAGGAAGCCAUAAUGAGUCAACCACUAUUUUUAAGAUUCACAGAUGUUCGGGUCCAAUUCACCAGAAUGCCAAGUUAUACAGGGUUGUGGAAUCAAAAACUGCAAUUAGUAAUAAAAUGUGAUGCUAUCUAGAAUGUUUUUCAUACAUAUAUAUGCUUCUUGGGACUCUCCCUGCAGGUUAAGAGAAAUUGAGAAACGAUGGAGAAUUUAAGUGUUUUAGAUCCUACAUACAUUAGACUUAAAAAUAGUAACUAUGUACAUGAGUAUUUGUAAACUUAAGAAUGAACAUAACAUGAACCAUGUGGCACCUAUAAAAUGAAAAUAAAAUACCUACAAACCAAAUGAGAGCAAUAAAAGAAGCUUUAAGGACUUUCACUUCAGGGAGUCUGAAUUAGAUGCGCUUCUUCCCAUUCCUCCCUCUAAUUACAACAAGCUUGGACGUUACAUACAGAACAAACAGAAGGAGUCUCUGAAAGAUGAAGAGAAGGCAAGUAAGCUACAGACUUCACAAUGUAAGGAAUAAUAUGGUGGUGAGUUACAUUUGUGAUUUUUUUUUGUCUCAUAUCCCAUAAUAUCUCAUAUCUCAUAAUCAGUUAGAAAGCACAAUGGAAAAGUAUUCCACUGCCAAUGGUGUUAGAGAACUGCUCACAAAUUCAACAGAAAUGCACAGAUACCAAAGCAGAAAGGACAAUAAACAAGAGUCUUCAUGGUCAAAAGAUUAGAAGCUGCAGCUUUCAAUGGGAGGGACAGGUUCUGGACCACACUGCAGUGCUUUUCUGCUUUCUGUGCUUUCCCACUCUAGAGCUGAAGAAGGUAACGACCCCAAAAUGUCAAUAUACGUAGACCAAAAACCAGCCCCAAUAAAAGUCUGCUCUCUCUAGCCAAAGGACUACAGUAGGGCAGCCCAGCAAGACAGAAAACCUUCAGACAACCUACCCCAGCCAAACACUACCAAAAAAAGUAAAGUGAGCCAUCACCCAAUCCACAUCAGUAAAAACUAAGUGGAAAGUCCAGACUUUCACCUCAAGAGGUUGCGACAAGCUACUCCAAUACCCCUGCUGGGAUAGUGUCACAGAAGGCUAAAUAAGGAGCUGUAAUGUUGAUUCCCCUCCAGAAGUAAAGAGUCCGUACCUGCUAUUUUCAGAGAGACCACAUGGAAAGCCUAGAUUUCAACACCUACCCAGCAUUAAUGAGGUAUUCCUUCCCUUCUUUACUCUCUGGUGUCAAAGAAGCUCCAUGCAGAGUCAGAAUGUUUGGCAUUACUCCUCAGUAGGGAGGCCACCCCCACCACGGUGUUAGUGGAGACCAUGUGAGGACCAGGACUUGUACCCUGCCCAGAAGUAAUGAGUAGACCCCCCUCUACAGGAAGGCCAAAGGGCAACCUAAACUUCUACCUCUCUCUGGCAGUAAUAAAGUAGGGCCUCACUUUUCCCUGCUGAGCAAUGUCAAAAAAAAAAGCCAGCUGAAGUAAAAGCUUAUUUCUUUCUUUCUUUAUACAUAUUUUUGGAGACAGGGUCUUAUUCUGUCACCCACGCUGGAGUACAGUGGCCUCAUCAGGUCUCACUGCAGCCUCAACCUCCUGGGCUCAAGCAAUCCUCCCACCUCAGCCUCUUGAGUAGCUGAGACCACAGAUGUGCACCACCACACAUAGCUAACAUUAACAUUUUUUCUAGAGAUGGGGUCUUCCUGUGUUGCCCAGGCUGGUCUGGAACUCCUGGGCUCAAGUGAUCCUCCCACCUUGACCUCCUGGAGGGCUGGGAUUACAGGUAUGAGUCAUCACUCCAGGCUGAAGCUUUAUAUAAUAACCAGAGUCUCAUAUUACAAAAUGUCAAAGAUUCAGUCAAAAGUUACUUGAUAUCAAUGGACAAGAUCUCAAACUAAAUGAAAAAAAGACAAUUAAUAGAUGCUAACACUGAGAUAACAAAGUUGUUAGAAUCAUCUAACAAAGAUUUUAAAGCAGCUAUAAUAAAAGUGCUACUGCAAGUGAUUAUAAACAUGCUUGAGACAAAUGAAAAAGUGCUAUAAAGCUAAGAAAUAAAAUAUAUAAAUAAGAAUCAAAGAGAAAUUAUAGAACUAAAAGAUACCAUAACUGAAAUGCAAAGCUCCGUGGAUGGACUCAACAACAGAAUGGAAAAGACUGAGGAAAGAAGUAGUUUACAGGAAAUUAGAAUAGACUAGAAAAAAUGAACAAGACCCUGUGCUAAAGAGCAAAUAUUUAUGUCAUUGGAUUCCAGGAAAGAGAAAAGAAUGAAAAAGUACUUAAAUAAUGGCUUAAAAACUUCUCACAUUUUGCAAAGAUUUAAACCUACAAUUUGAGAAGCUGGGUAAACCUUAAACAGGAUAAAUCAAGGACACUCACACCAAGAAACAUAGUAAUUAAACUUCUGAUUAAGGAAGAAAAAGAAAAAUCUGGAAAGCAGCAAGAAAAAAAUGACACACUUUCUAUAUGGUAAAAGCAAUUUGAACAACAGAAGAUUUCUCAUCAGAAACUGUGGGGACCAUGAGGAAGUAACAGAUAUUUUUCAAGUGCUGAAAUAAAUCAACUGUCAAUACAAAAUGCUCUACUCAGUGAAAAUAUCUUUCAGGAAUAAAGGGGAAAUCAGGACACGCACAGACUUUUUUUAAAUUAAGAAUUUAUUGUCAGCUUAUCUCCCUAAAAGAAUGGCUAACAUUCUCCAAACACGAAGGAAAUUGAUAAGGAAUCUUGAAAUUUCAGUUAGAAACAAUGAAUAUGGCAAGCAAAAUGUAGGUCAGUACACUAAGUUUAAUUUCUCCUCUUGAAUUUUCUAAAUUAUGACUUAUGAUUGAAGCAAAAAUCAUAACAUUAUCUGAUGUAUAUGUAGAGGAAAGAUUUAAGACAGUGAUGUUAUAAAUGAGGGGAGUAAAGGAACAUGAGAUAACCACUAAUAUGACAUACCAAUAGACUAUGAUAAAUUAUGUGUCUAAUGUGAUUACUAGAAAAACCAGUUAAAAUAUAAAGAUUGACGGAGUGAAUUUAAAAACAUGACACACUAUAUGCUGUUUAUCAUAAACUCACUUUGAAGAUAAUGCCAUCGUCAGGUUGAAAUCAAAAGGAAUAAAAUAGUGUAUUAUGUAAACCAUCAAAAAGAGCAGGAAUGGCCAUAUUAAUAACAUUAAAGUCAGCUUCAGAACUAAGGAAAUUAUCAGAGAGGGACAUUAUAUAAUGAAAUAGUCGAUUUACCAAAAGAACAUAGCAAUCAUAAAUGUGCAUGAAGCAAACAACAAAGCUGGAAAAUAUAUGAAGUGAAACUGAUAGAUCUAAAAGGAGAAACAGAUAAAUCCAUUCAUUAUAGUUGGGGCCUUUAUCACCCCUCACUCAACAAUUGAUAGAACUGGACAGAAAACCAGUAAGAAUAUAAAAGAACUCAACAACAUGAGACAAUAGGAUCUAGUUGAUAUUUAUAGAACAUUCCAACAGCAGAAUACAUGUUCUUCAAGUGCUCACAGAACACACAUAUAAAGAUAGACCCUGAGCAUAAAACAAGCCUCAACAAAUUUAAAAGAACUGAAAUACUACAAGUACUUUCUCCAACCACAAAAGAACCAAACUAGAAAUAAAUAACAAUGAUAAUGGGAAAAUCACCAAACACUUGAAAACUGAACAACAAUAUUUUAUAACCCAUGGUCAUAGAGGAAAUCUCAAAAGAAAUUUUAAAAAUGCACUGAACUGAAUGAAAAUGAAAACAACAUAAAAUUUGUGAGACACAUAAAGCAGAACUGAUGGGAAAAUAUAUAGCACUAAAUGCAUGCUCUAGAAAAGAAAAGUCUUCAACCAGUAACCUAAGCUUCCACCUCAAAAACCUAAAAAAAGAAGGAAAAAUAGACCCAAUGCCAGCAGAAAGAUGCAAUAACAAAGAGUAGAACUCAAUGAAAUUGAAAACAGAUAAACACUUUAAAGAAUAAAACAAAGAGCUGGUUAUUAGAAAAGAUCAAUUAAUUGAUAAACCUCAAGCAAGACCGUCAAAAAAAAAAAAAAAAGGACUUACCUAUACCAGAGAUGAAAUGGGAUAUCGCUAUCAAUACUGCAAACAUCAAAAGGAUAAGUAGAUACUAUGAACUGUACACACAUUAAUCUGACAAUUUAGACAAAAUAGAUCAUUUCCCUAGAAAACACAAACUACUACAGCUUACCCAAUAUAAAAUAGAUUAUUUGAAUAGCCUUAUAAGUACUAAAAAAAAAUUAAUUAAACUCAUUAUUUAAAAAUUCCUAAAAAGAAAGCCUCCAGAGCCAAAUUGUUUCCUUCAGAAUUCCACCACAUUCAUAAAGAUUUGACAGCAAUUCUAUACAGUCUCUUUGAGAAAAUAGAAGGGGGUAUUUUCUAAUUCAUUUUAAGGAGCUAGUAAAUACCCUGAUACUGAAAUGUAUACUGCAAAUUGAUAAAAUUAUAGACCCCUGCAUAUUAAAUUUCAAAAUAAAAAUGAUAAAAAUACUUGGGUAAUGAAUAACAGCAUAACAAAAAACCACAGACCAAUAUCUCAUGAACAUAGACACAAAAAAUGCUUCACAAUAUGACAUAGAAUUCAGUAAUACAUGAGAAUUAUAUACCACAACCCAGUAAGACUUAAUCCAAGAAUGGAAGACUGGCUCAAUAUUUAAAAAUCAAUCGAUGUAGUGCAAAUAUUAAUAGCUAAUGAAGAAAUGUCAUAAAAUUAAUGCAGAAAAAGGAUUUGACAAAAUUCAACACUCAUUUAUGUAAAAAUGCUCUGAAAAAUAGGAAUUAAAGGACACCUACAAGAAACUUUCAGCUAACAUAAUUCUUAAUGCUGAAUGAUUGAAUGUUUUCUUCCUGAGCUUGAGAAUAAGGUGAGGGUAUCAUCCCUAAUGACGCUUAUUCAACAUAGUGCUCAAAGUUCUAUGAAGUGCAAUUAGGCAAUAAAGGGAAAUAAAAGACAGGUAAAAGAAGAAAUUAAAUUUUAUUUGAAAAAGCUGAUUGUCUACCUAGAAAAUCUCAAGGAAAACACUAUUAAUAUACAGAACAACCUGAAUGAAUCUUUGGAGAAUUACGCUGCAUCAGAAAAAGCCAAUCACAAAAGAUUACAUACUAUGUAAUUCCAUUUGUAUAACAUUUUGAACUGACAAAAGUAUAGAAAUGAACAGAUUAGUGGUUGUUAGGGGUGAGGGGUUAUGGGUCAGAGAUAGGAGUUGGGGAUAUAAAAAGGCAACCUGAGGGAUCCUUAUGGUGAUUGAAACAUUCUGUAUGUUGGUUCUAUCAAUGUCAAUACUCUGGUUGGACUAUGGUUCCACAGUUUUGCAAGAUGUUAUUGAGGAAAACGGCAUAAAUGGUGCCCAGGAUCUCUCUAUUGUUUCUUACUGAUUAUGUAUCUGCAAUGAUUGCAAAAUAAAAAGGUUUAAUUUUUAAAAAGGAUUAAACAUUACAUAGCAUACACUUGAGUAAAAGACAAAAUCUGGCUAAGGAUUAUUUUUGUCCUAAGUAAUAUGUGGAUUUUGUACAACAUAAAUCACAAUCCCCUAAAAUCUAUAUUGUAAAUUGAUAAAAUGUAAAACCUGUGUAUUACAGAAUAAAAGAUGAACAAAAAUUACAAAACA
Long non-coding RNA from Homo sapiens (human), 6092 nucleotides. RefSeq lists it as uncharacterized. The transcript is spliced from 4 exons. The record is from RefSeq and is marked validated. NCBI's taxonomy places the organism in Eukaryota, Metazoa, Chordata, Mammalia, Primates, Hominidae.